CCCAGAAUACUGAGAACUAAGCAGGCCUGGAACAAUGCCAAGGCAGGAUACAGGCAUUUCAGAUGUGCCAGCAGAGGCUAACAAAAUAUGAAUCUAUCCUCUUCUGGAUAAACCCGAGAGAUUUCAGAUGGGUGGGAGUACCUGGAAUGGACUAUGUGGUAAGGACAGACCACAGACAAAUAAAAACCAAGAUAGGCCAGGAGGGGCCGUCAACAUUUCUCGAAUACAACAGUGUGCAGGGCACCAACUUUUUC
RNAcentral lists this long non-coding RNA (254 nucleotides) under Homo sapiens (human). RNAcentral describes it as "non-protein coding lnc-GRID1-1:1". Lineage: Eukaryota; Metazoa; Chordata; Mammalia; Primates; Hominidae. The record is from RNAcentral.